CCUACGGAGGGCAGCAGUGGGGAAUAUUGGGCAAUGGGCGCAAGCCUGAUCCAGCAACGCCGCGUGAAGGAAGAAGGCCCUCGGGUUGUAAACUUCUUUUAUUCGGGACGAAACAAAUGACGGUACAGAAUGAAUAAGCCACGGCUAACUACGUGCCAGCAGCAGCGGUAAUACGUAGGUGGCAAGCGAUAUCCGGAUUUACUGGGUGUAAAGGGCGUGUAGGCGGGAGAGCAAGUCAGACGUGAAAUUCCAGGGCUCAACCCUGGAACUGCGUUUGAAACUGUUCUUCUUGAGUGAUGGAGAGGCAGGCGGAAUUCCGUGUGUAGCGGUGAAAUGCGUAGAUAUACGGAGGAACACCAGUGGCGAAGGCGGCCUGCUGGACAUUAACUGACGCUGAGGCGCGAAAGCGUGGGGAGCAAACAGGAUUAGAUACCCCAGUAGUC
This 443-nucleotide ribosomal RNA is filed under the name uncultured bacterium. RNAcentral's name for it is "partial 16S ribosomal RNA". It matches the Rfam family "Bacterial small subunit ribosomal RNA", at positions 338 to 795 of the family's 1533-position model. The record is from RNAcentral.